GAUGAACGCUGGCGGCGUACCUAAUACAUGCAAGUCGAGCGAACGGACGAGAAGCUUGCUUCUCUGAUGUUAGCGGCGGACGGGUGAGUAACACGUGGAUAACCUACCUAUAAGACUGGGAUAACUUCGGGAAACCGGAGCUAAUACCGGAUAAUAUUUUGAACCACAUGGUUCAAAAGUGAAAGACGGUCUUGCUGUCACUUAUAGAUGGAUCCGCGCUGCAUUAGCUAGUUGGUAAGGUAACGGCUUACCAAGGCAACGAUGCGUAGCCGACCUGAGAGGGUGAUCGGCCACACUGGAACUGAGACACGGUCCAGACUCCUACGGGAGGCAGCAGUAGGGAAUCUUCCGCAAUGGGCGAAAGCCUGACGGAGCAACGCCGCGUGAGUGAUGAAGGUCUUCGGAUCGUAAAACUCUGUUAUUAGGGAAGAACAUAUGUGUAAGUAACUGUGCACAUCUUGACGGUACCUAAUCAGAAAGCCACGGCUAACUACGUG
RNAcentral lists this ribosomal RNA (497 nucleotides) under uncultured bacterium. RNAcentral describes it as "partial 16S ribosomal RNA". It matches the Rfam family "Bacterial small subunit ribosomal RNA", at positions 28 to 507 of the family's 1533-position model. The record is from RNAcentral.